GGAGGGGUGGCCGAGCGGCUGAAGGCAGCGGUCUUGAAAACCGCCGACGGGAGACCGUCCUAGAGUUCGAAUCUCUAUCUUUCCGCCA
This 88-nucleotide transfer RNA is filed under the name Providencia rettgeri. RNAcentral describes it as "tRNA-Ser". It matches the Rfam family "tRNA". Rfam says of the family: Transfer RNA (tRNA) molecules are approximately 80 nucleotides in length. Their secondary structure includes four short double-helical elements and three loops (D, anti-codon, and T loops). The record is from RNAcentral. Lineage: Bacteria; Pseudomonadati; Pseudomonadota; Gammaproteobacteria; Enterobacterales; Morganellaceae.